CUUUAAACUUACUAACUCUUGCUCUAGCCACAUCUUUAUGAAGGAAGAGUCAGAGAUCAGAGUCUCCAGAACCCAGCGGUGUGUCUGUGAAGAGUAACAGAUCAAAGACGCCACCCCCUGAAUUCAGUGAUGGACCAAUGACCGCUGACCCUCUCAGGAGGGAAAUACAUCAGCCGACCAGAUCUGUGUCAUACUCUGCAUCACACUAUCAGACCCACAUCAGACAAGAAAGAACUGAAGCCACCAUGCAGAAACACACAGUGAAGACUGGAGACCUGCAGAGAGUCAGAGACCAGCACAAAGCCAGUAUGAAGAACAAGUAUGAGAGAAUAUUUGAGGGAACCAAACUCCAAGAGAAUGAAACCCUCCUGAUCAGGAUCUACACACAGCUCUACAUCAUAGAGGGAGAGAGAGAAGGAGUGAAUGAAGAACAUGAGGUUUUACAGAUGGAGAAAACAGCCAGAACACAACACUCACAAGA
Sinocyclocheilus anshuiensis is the source of this 481-nucleotide long non-coding RNA. RefSeq lists it as uncharacterized. The record is from RefSeq and is a predicted model, not a curated record. NCBI's taxonomy places the organism in Eukaryota, Metazoa, Chordata, Actinopteri, Cypriniformes, Cyprinidae. The transcript has 3 exons.